Molecule: long non-coding RNA, 1394 nt
Filed under: Gallus gallus (chicken)
Lineage: Eukaryota; Metazoa; Chordata; Aves; Galliformes; Phasianidae
Description: lncRNA (ENSGALG00010026556.1)
Source: RNAcentral
GCAUUGCACGCACCUGAGCUCCCCGGGCUGGCCCGGCCUUCCGCCACGUGCUCCGUCACUGCUUCAGGCCGGGACUCAGCACUGCCACUACAGAUGGGGUGGUGGCACAUGGGGAGGAUGGGGAUGCCAUGGGAUGGUGGCACAUGGAAGGGUGGAGGUGUUCAGAAAUGGUGACACGUGGGCAGAGUGGAGGUGCCGUGGGAUGGUGGCACAUGGGAGGAUGGAGACGGUAUGCGAUGGUGGCACAGGGACAGGAUGGAGAUGUGGUGGGAUGGUGGCACAUGGAAGGGUGGAGAUGCCAUGGGAUGGUGGCAUGGGGACAGGAUGGAGAUGCCCUGGGAUGGUGGCACAUGGAAGGGUGGAGGUGUUCAGAAAUGGUGACACGUGGGCAGAGUGAAGGUGCCAUGGGAUGGUGGCACAUGGGAGGAUGGAGACGUUAUGCGAUGGUGGCACAGGAACAGGAUUGAGAUGCGGUGGGAUGGUGGCAUAGGGACAGGAUGGAGAUGCCCGAGGAUGGUGGUACAUGGAAGGAUGGAGAUGGGGUGGGAUGGUGGCACAUGGAAGGGUGGAGGUGUUCAGAAAUGGUGACACAUGGGCAGAGUGGAGGUGCUGUGGGAUGGUGGCACAUGGGAGGAUGGAGACAUCCAGUUUGGCACAGGGACAGGACGGAGAUGCGGUGGGAUGGUGGCACAUGGAAGGAUGGAGACGGUAUGCGAUGGUGGCACAGGGACAGGAUGGAGAUGUGGUGGGAUGGUGGCACAUGGAAGGGUGGAGACAUCCAGUUUGGCACAGGGACAGGAUGGGGAUGCGAUGGGAUGGUGGCACAGGGAUAGGACGGAGGCGCUGAGAAGCGGCGGCGCAGGGCAGGUGGGGGUGUUAUGGGCAGGUGGGGUUGUUAUGGGCCGGCGGCGCAGCGAAGGACGGAGGUGGGGACGCCGGGAGGCGGCGCAGUGCGGCCCGCUGUGGGGCGGCGCAGAGCUGCGGCGCUGGGAGCGUUUGGUUCUCAUUAUGGGCUGCUGGCAGCGGCGGUGGAAAAAAUAGCAGUGAGUGCAGAGCUGGGAGGGAGAGGGGCCGUGGAGGGGCGGCUGCGGUGUGCAAACAGCGAGCGGUGAGCACGGCCAGCGUGCAAAUACAGCGUGCAACGUGUGCUCAGCGUGCAACGUGCAAAUAAAGCGUGCAGCGUGUGUGCUUAGUGUGCAAGGAAAGCGUGCAACGUGUGCUCAGCGUGCAACGUGCAUAUAAAGUGUGCGGCAUGUGUGCUCAGUGUGCAAAGAAAGUGUGCAACGUGUGCUCAGCGUGCAUAUAAAGUGAGCAACGUGUGCUCACUGUGCAAGGAAAGCAUGCAAUGUGUGCUCAGAGUGCAACAUGCAAAUAAAGCGUGCAGUGUGUGUGCU